This 440-nucleotide ribosomal RNA is filed under the name uncultured bacterium. RNAcentral's name for it is "partial 16S ribosomal RNA". It matches the Rfam family "Bacterial small subunit ribosomal RNA", at positions 338 to 795 of the family's 1533-position model. The record is from RNAcentral.
CCUACGGGAGGCAGCAGUAGGGAAUUUUGCGCAAUGGGCGAAAGCCUGACGCAGCAACACCGCGUGAAUGUUAAGCCCUUCGGGGUGUUAAGUUCUGUCAAUAGGGGCGGAUUUUGACUGUACCUAUAAAGGAAGCACCGGCUAACUCCGUGCCAGCAGCCGCGGUAAUACGGGGGGUGCAAGCGUUGUCCGGAAUCAUUGGGCGUAAAGCGUUCGUAGGCGGCAAGGUAAGUCUGAUGUUAAAGCCCGGGGCUCAACCUCGGUUCGGCAUUUGAUACUAUCUAGCUAGAAUGUGGUAGAGGGAAAGAGAAUUCCUGGUGGAGCGGUGAAAUGCGUAGAUAUGAGGAGGAACACCGGUGGCGAAAGCGCUUUACUGGAAAAGUAUUGACGCUGAGGAACGAAAGCCAGGGGAGCAAAUGGGAUUAGAUACCCGAGUAGUC